Molecule: transfer RNA, 66 nt
Filed under: Marmota monax (woodchuck)
Lineage: Eukaryota; Metazoa; Chordata; Mammalia; Rodentia; Sciuridae
Description: tRNA.Ala
Source: RNAcentral
GGUUGUGGCUCAGUGGUAAAGUGCUUGCCUAGCAUGUGUGAGGCAUGAGUUCGAUUCUCAGGACCA